CUCCGCGGGAUCCCGCAGCGCUCCUGUAUCUCAGCCUGAAGAGCUCCGAGACCAGAAUCCAGACUCAGUCCAGGACAACACGGUCCACCAGUCACAGCGGAGACCUGCAGGACGAUGGAGAACCAGAACCCGGACCACAGGAGCCAAACAGCAGCCUCGUGCUCUGAUAGCACCGAUGUUCAGAGAAGAAGAGAUGGACUCAAACGUCAUCGCUGUCAGCACUGUGACAAAUCCUUCGCAACAUCUGGAUAUUUGAAGAUUCAUCAAAGAGUUCACACUGGAGAGAAACCGUACAGCUGUGACCUGUGCGGGGAAGCUUUCACUACAUCAGGUGCCCUAAAAAACCACAGACGUGUUCACACUGGAGAGAAACCUCACUGGUGUGAACAGUGUGGGAAAACUUUCACUCGAGCAGGUCACCUAAAAAUCCACCAACGUGUUCACACUGGAGAGAAACCUCACUCGUGUGAACAGUGUGGAAAAACUUUCACCACAUCAAGUCACCUAAAAAACCACUUGCGUGUUCACACUGGACAGAAACCGUACUGGUGUGAACAGUGUGGAAAAACUUUCGCUCUGUCAGGUGACUUAAAAACCCACCAACGUGUUCACACUGGAGAGAGACCACACUGGUGUGAACAGUGUGGAAAAACUUUCACUACAUCAAGUAACCUACAAAACCACUUGCGUGUUCACACUGGACAGAAACCGUACUGGUGUGAACAGUGUGGAAAAACUUUCGCUCUAUCAGGUCACCUAAGAAAGCACCAACUUGUUCACACUGGAGAGAAACCUCACAGGUGUGAACAGUGUAUAAAAACUUUCACUCGAUCAUGUCACCUAAAAACUCACCAACGUGUUCACACUGGAGAGAAACCGUACUGGUGUGAACAGUGUGGAAAAGAUUUCACUCGAUCGGGUGACCUAAAAAUCCACCAACGUGUUCACACUGGUGAGAAACCGUACUGGUGUGAACAGUGUGGAAAAACUUUCACUCAAUCAGGUAACCUAAAAAUCCACCAACGUGUUCACACUGGUGAGAAACCUUACUGGUGUGAACAGUGUGGCAAAUCUUAUACAAACAGGAGAACUCUUAGAAGACACAAAUGCAUACACAAAGCAUUUAAAGUAAGCACAGUGAGCAUUGUACAAUCCUGAGUCAAAUUCCUCAUAUGUGUACACAUAUCUGGCAAAGAAAGCUGAUUCUGAUCAUUUUGACGUUUUUCACAGAGCCGAGCUAGCAAUUAAAUUGCAGUAGCCAGAUUUUAACCAGUAGAGGGCAGUCACUGUAUUUUUAUAGCACUAUAUGUAAUUCAAAUCGUUUACUUACUGAUAGCUGGAACCAGUCCAUGCGGACUGGUCACGGGGUGUGGCCGUAACGUUAACACACACUCAGCGCUACUGGCAAAUGUAAAUGCCAAUUACUAUCUGUGACACGUCCCUUUCUAGCUUUACAGAAACACAAACAUAUACCAUAGACUGUAUCUAAAAAAACUUAUAUGGAGACAAAUAGCAUUGCAUUUUCUGUUUCAUGGAAACUUUCUGCUUAAAGUAAUCCCUAUUCCCUGACUUUUCUAAAUGUACCUGUAAUCUGAUUAUGUCUUUUUUUCUUGUACUGUAACUAUAUACAGUUACGUUUUUUGUAUCCUCAUUACCUAAUCUGUUACUCCCCCACCCUGAGGGAAAAUUCGGGAGGUCACUAAUGGAAAAGUUGGAUGACAGUUUCUUGGUAUACAACGGACCUGCAAGAACUCCCAGAGCAUAAACAACGAUGGGUGAGAGCUAACUCUGACAACCUAAGCCAGUUUAGUGAAUCACAACCUGACUGUGGCUAGGAGAACCUGAUACCACUGUCUUUUAAGGAACAUCUCAUGAGCUCUGGUUUCCAUCAAGUGGAACUGAGGACUCGGAAGACGAAGGACAGAGAGACUGACUAUGCUAUGCUGAAUUUAAACGUAUAUUAAUUGAUAAAUUAUGUGUCCAUAACCACAUAUUAAAUAACGUGAGGUUUUAAGUUAACAUGCUGAACUGGCUGCAGGACUGUGGAAUAAAUAUUGCCCCAAAUGUA
Micropterus dolomieu (smallmouth bass) is the source of this 2068-nucleotide RNA transcript. It is a transcript of the gene named zinc finger protein 239-like, with no coding region annotated. The transcript is spliced from 3 exons. The record is from RefSeq and is a predicted model, not a curated record. Lineage: Eukaryota; Metazoa; Chordata; Actinopteri; Centrarchiformes; Centrarchidae.